RNAcentral lists this ribosomal RNA (253 nucleotides) under uncultured bacterium. Its description in RNAcentral is "partial 16S ribosomal RNA". It matches the Rfam family "Bacterial small subunit ribosomal RNA", at positions 524 to 776 of the family's 1533-position model. The record is from RNAcentral.
UACGGAGGGGGCUAGCGUUGUUCUGAAUUACUGGGCGUAAAGCGCACGUAGGCGGCUUUGUAAGUUAGAGGUGAAAGCCCAGGGCUUAACCCUGGAAUUGCCUUUAAGACUGCAUCGCUAGAAUCGUGGAGAGGUGAGUGGAAUUCCGAGUGUAGAGGUGAAAUUCGUAGAUAUUCGGAAGAACACCAGUGGCGAAGGCGACUCACUGGACACGUAUUGACGCUGAGGUGCGAAAGCGUGGGGAGCAAACAGG